GAUGAACGCUGGCGGCGUGCCUAAUACAUGCCAGUCGAGCGAACAGACGAGGAGCUUGCUCCUCUGACGUUAGCGGCGGACGGGUGAGUAACACGUGGAUAACCUACCUAUAAGACUGGGAUAACUUCGGGAAACCGGAGCUAAUACCGGAUAAUAUAUUGAACCGCAUGGUUCAAUAGUGAAAGACGGUUUUGCUUUCACUUAUAGAUGGAUCCGCGCCGCAUUAGCUAGUUGGUAAGGUAACGGCUUACCAAGGCAAGGAUGCGUAGCCGACCUGAGAGGGUGAUAGGCCACCCUGGAACUGAGACACGGUCCAGACUCCUACGGGAGGCAGCAGUAGGGAAUCUUCCGCAAUGGGCGAAAGCCUGACGGAGCAACGCGGCGUGAGUGAUGAAGGUCUUCGGAUCGUAAAACUCUGUUAUUAGGGAAGAACAAAUGUGUAAGUAACUAUGCACGUAUUGACGGUACCUAAUCAGAAAGCCACGGCUAACUACGUG
RNAcentral lists this ribosomal RNA (497 nucleotides) under uncultured bacterium. Its description in RNAcentral is "partial 16S ribosomal RNA". It matches the Rfam family "Bacterial small subunit ribosomal RNA", at positions 28 to 507 of the family's 1533-position model. The record is from RNAcentral.